RNAcentral lists this unclassified non-coding RNA (269 nucleotides) under Helicosporium sp. Its description in RNAcentral is "partial contains 5.8S ribosomal RNA, internal transcribed spacer 2, and large subunit ribosomal RNA". The record is from RNAcentral. Lineage: Eukaryota; Fungi; Ascomycota; Dothideomycetes; Tubeufiales; Tubeufiaceae.
CGCAUAUUGCGCCCUUUGGUAUUCCGAGGGGCAUGCCUGUUCGAGCGUCAUUUCAAACCAUCAAGCCCCAAGCUUGGCCUUGAGCGAAGACAAAAAACGCCCCCGUAGCGGGCGCGCUCCAAAGUUUGUCGGCGGCGGUGCCGUGCCACGGGCGUAGCAAGAACCCAAAGUUCCACGCCCCGCUGGCUGCGGCGGCCGCCAGCCCCCAAAAACCAAAAAAACCCCCAAAGAUUGACCUCGGAUCAGGUAGGGAUACCCGCUGAACUUAA